AAAUCUCAAAAAUGAGUUAGUGAAUUGAUUGAUCCAAAAGCCUUAAGGUCUUUUGUUAUCCAAGGGAGAAAACUCAACCUAAAACCACAGAUCCACCAUGUGAGGAUAGCUUCAACAUGCUAGUGAGAGGUUAACCCUAUAAUAAGCAUGGAAGACUUAUUGUCCAUCACUAUGGAUAAAGGUGAGUAUUACAUCUACCUCAAGGAUAACUCAAAUCUAAUAGCUAAAGGUUAUGAAAAAU
Molecule: long non-coding RNA, 241 nt
Filed under: Lathyrus oleraceus (garden pea)
Lineage: Eukaryota; Viridiplantae; Streptophyta; Magnoliopsida; Fabales; Fabaceae
Description: Pisum sativum (pea) long non-coding RNA (PSAT_LNC005110)
Source: RNAcentral